Molecule: long non-coding RNA, 2210 nt
Organism: Bombus huntii
Lineage: Eukaryota; Metazoa; Arthropoda; Insecta; Hymenoptera; Apidae
Exons: 2
Source: RefSeq, a predicted model, not a curated record
CGCAAAGUAUAACAUCUACAUAAAAUAUUGAACGAUUAACAUAUGAUUUAUACAUGAAUUAUUAACGUAUGAUAACGUAUGAAUGAAUACUUUGUUUGAGGCAUUGUUCUACGAUUAAAAAAAGAUCAUUUAUGUCAAUACACGUUCGUGCGUCUUUAACGAGGGUGGAAACGCGUACUUUUCAUAACGAUGCGACCGAGUCACAUGCUUCUACAAGAUAUAGAUAGAACUAGGAAGACGUGGUGAAUCAUUGUCGUCGGAGGUUUGGCUGGCGUCCCGCGGUCCAAACUAGCUGAACUCGCCUCGCAACAGGGAGCUUCAGAGAGCUGAUCUCUACCGCGCAAAUAUUUAUGUUUCUAUUCUUAUCGAGACGUAUCGAUGCACGAUGCGCGAAACGCAAUUGCGUUAGAAGUACAUAAAGAAAUAGAUUAUUUAUGUAUUUCGAAAUUUCUCGAUACACUUAAACGAUAUUGUAUUGGCAAUUAUCGAUUUGCUCUUUAUUAUCGAUGAUCCUCUUAAGCAAGGAGAUUAAAUUUUCAUCGGAUAUUUCUUCAGUUUUUAUUCCCUAAAAAUAGAGAAUCAAGAGCAACGAAAGAAUCGUUAACUUUCUUUUUCCUUCCUCGUUUCGUUCUCUCCGACGAAAACGUUCAAGGGUGAAAGCAUAUACGUGUCCACCGAUUUCCACGCCAUUGUGGGGUUUCCCAAGUCGAAUCGAGUCGAACCGAGGCAAGAAUAUCACGACACGCAAAUAGUCGCGCAGGUAUUUUUAAAUAUCAAAAACAUCUGCUUCGAGCUUUCUGUCUCAUCGCGCGCCGCGCGUGAUGUAACGCGCGUGCACGCACGCACAGACGACGCGCCAAAAUUCCGUCGCGUGUAUUCCGAGCUUAAUACCGCAACACUCUUUUCUCCUCACUUUCUUCUUCCCCUACCUAAUUGCUUCAUCCGUGAAAUUCUCUAGGCGCGUCUCAUCGACCGAAUCACCGCGACUACACUUGAACCCCUAACGUUUCUGCUCCACUAUUGAAUCAUACGUAUCACGAAAGGCCGUAUGUCUUUCUAAUUUAAGCCUAGUUAUUCGAGCAUGUGCUUUUUCGUUCGCUUCGAUAAAAUUACACACGCGAAUGUUUACGUUUUUCUUGACAAAUCGAUAAGACGUAAAGCACGUUGUACGUCACCGGUAUGUACGUACGACGCAACGUAAGAAUCAAGUAACAGACACGCGAGCUUGCGAUUAGAUCAAAAAUCCAUAGCAAAAGCGUAGCUUAAUUUAUUUCGUCAUGGUCCAAAAUCAGCCGUUACGCCAACAGCUUGCCAUUCCAUGUGUACAUCCAUUUUAUAAGCCUAGAAUGGAGUAUAUGGAUGACGUUAUGUGGGAAUUCCGGAGCUUUGUAAAAGAGCUAACGUUCAACGUUCGAUUAUUCAGGCAUCGCAAUUUGAAAUAUUUAACGUAAAACCACGGAUAUAUCAAAUUAGCAUAGCAAAAGGAAAUCUUGUAAAUGUAAUUACACUGGAGUCUGUGAAAGAUGCAUAGACAACGGAUACAAAAGGCAUAGUGGAAAAGAUUUCUGACUAAACUUUUCUUCGAAGCAUCCGUAGCACAUUUAGCUGCGGCUCGAAUUCUCGUUUGAAUAGUCACUGAAAAGGAAGCUACUUUGGAAUUACGAAUAACGCGAUUGUUACUUGGAAAUGUCUCGAAAAAUAUUAUCUAUUUGAAAGUGACGAGUGGCAUUGAUCACUUUUCUCAAAAAUAUCACGAAUCGUCAAUAAUGGGAUUAUACUUAACUUCAUGGAAUUUCCGAACGAAAUAAACGGAAUAACGGAUCAUUCUCGAUUCUCGAUGAAAUCAUGGGAAACCCGCGCAUAAUCGUGGUUACAGAAUUGUUCCCCGUGUGCGGCGCGCGCGCGUGCGAUGCCAAUGACUGUUGUUUCAUGCGGUAAAAGUUGUUAGGAUUUUCCGAGAUGCUUCGUUUGUCCUUUCCGCGAGCGAUACUAAACCCGUGUCACGCGCGUUUCCUGCCUUCUUAACAAAACAUCUUAUUCCAUGGGUUUCUUUUUAUUGUCCAUUAAUAAGAACAGGCUUUAUCCUCGGUGUUUUUUGUGUCAUACAUCAUCGUCAAAUGUUCAAGGAUUUAACGAAUGUACUAAAACUACUUUGUGUUGCUAUUCUAUUCAUUUAUUCAUAAAAUGUUGUCGCUGAUGAGAUUUAAGCA